RNAcentral lists this ribosomal RNA (499 nucleotides) under uncultured bacterium. RNAcentral's name for it is "bacterial SSU rRNA". It matches the Rfam family "Bacterial small subunit ribosomal RNA", at positions 11 to 527 of the family's 1533-position model. The record is from RNAcentral.
GUUUGAUCCUGGCUCAGGACGAACGCUGGCGGCGUGCUUAACACAUGCAAGUCGAGCGACGCUCCUCCUUCGGGAGGAUGACGGAGCGGCGAACGGGUGAGUAACACGUGGGCAACCUGCCCCCGGCUCUGGGAUAACUCCAAGAAAUUGGGGCUAAUACCGGAUAUUCACUGCUGACCGCAUGGUUGGUGGUGGAAAGAUUUAUCGGCUGGGGAUGGGCCCGCGGCCUAUCAGCUUGUUGGUGGGGUAGUGGCCUACCAAGGCGACGACGGGUAGCCGGCCUGAGAGGGUGACCGGCCACACUGGGACUGAGACACGGCCCAGACUCCUACGGGAGGCAGCAGUGGGGAAUAUUGCGCAAUGGGGGAAACCCUGACGCAGCAACGCCGCGUGGAGGAUGAAGCCCCUUGGGGCGUAAACUCCUUUCGACCAAGACGAUAAUGACGGUACUGGUGGAAGAAGCACCGGCUAACUCUGUGCCAGCAGCCGCGGUAAUGCU